GUGUUUUAGUGCCCCAUAGAGUCCAGCGUCUGACCGAAGACUAGAAUCUCAACUACACUGAAACCAGUUAAUUGUACAGUUUGAGCUAUUGUAGUUUAGAGAACCUUUAAAUGCAGGUAUAUAAAAUAUUCCAUGUACAAAGAAUUCUUUUAAUACCCCAUGUGUUUUACAUAACUGAUGGUGCAAGUACAUUUUAUAACUUUUAACUUUUAACUUUCACUGUUCUGUAGUGCAUCAACAGAAGUAGUUUGACUGAACCGCUGACAGGUCUUUAAAUUUCACAUUUGUGCGAGCUGGAAAGACGAAGUCACAACAACGUACAGCUGGAUAUAAAAGACUUAAGAGGCAACACGUCGUACAUACACUAGAUGGCACCACGCCUACACAAGUGUCCACAUGCUGGACAUUAAGCAGCACCAAAAAGGUAGACCAAAGAGAUUAAAAAUAAAUAUUUAUUCUUUUUAAAACAGCAAAUAUCCACAGGACAACAGCUGCAUCUGUUUGGAGGAAGAGCAAUGUCAGAAACAGUGUUCAAGCGAAUGGAAGAUUAGGAAGUAAUCAUUUUUCCCAGCCGGAUCCUCUUCCACACGGCUUUGGGAUGAACACGCCGGACUGGCUUGUAUGAUGCCGAUGGUUGCUGGGGGGCCGCGAAGGCCUGCUGCGGCACCGAGGGACGCUGGGGGGGCAGGUAGGCCUGCCCUGGCACUACCGGGUGUGGGGGGUCCAGGUAGAUCUGCUGCGGCACAGAGGGACGCAGGGGGUCCAGGUAGGCCUUCCCCGGCGCUAAUGGACGCAGGGGGUCCAGGUAGGCCUGCCCCGGCGCUGAGGGACGCUGAGGGAACAGGUAGGCCUGCCCCGGCGCUGAGGGGCGCGGGGGGUCCAGGUAGAUCUGCUGCGGCACCGAGGGACGCUGAGGGAACAGGUAGGCCUUCCCCGGCGCUAACGGGCGCGGGGGGUCCAGGUAGAUCUGCUGCGGCGCUGAGGGACGCUGAGGGUCCACGUAUUCCUGCUGCCGUACAGGCUGGCGCCCGGGAGCCCUGCCGGUCGGCUUACUGUAUAUCACGCUCUCCUUCUCAGCGGGUUCCUUCAGUUGUAUGAUGGCGUGGCCACCGAAGCGCUCGGGGAUGGAGAUGGGUCCGAAGUGCUGCGCAGAGGUCCUGGACGCAGGGAGGUCACGGGCGCCCUGCGCCGGGUUACUGCCGCGCCAGGGGGUUUUGCGGUAGAUCUUACUGCCGGGCCUCUGCUUGGAGAAGCUCGUUGUUCCACUGGCUUCGUUGGACGCCGUAGACUGGCUGUGACGUUGGGGGAUAAAGGUGACGUGGGGCGCUGAAGCAGGCGUGUAGCUUUGUUGGGCUUGUCCUGCCUUCAUAGGGACCUCUGGGUGUUGGUUUCCAGCCUCCGGCCAACUCGGGAUAUUUCCAUUUCUCUCACUUGUUGGUGAGGACAAACGGGUCGGGUUAGAUGCCUCAGAGCCCAGACGCGAAGACACCAGUGUGGCGAACGCGCUGGCCGAUGUCGCCGUGCGACCAGGGAUUUGGUUUAGCAGAGCAGCAUCUAUGUCAGCAUCCAUGUCCAACAGGCUCAACGGAUAGUUGCCAGUACUCGGUGUAUUUGACCAAGUUCCCCUGCUAAUGGUAGUUUGAUGGUGCGUUUCAAAUGAACCACCACCAAUAAGAGCAGUAGAAAGGCCAAAUAUUUGCAGUGGCAUAGUUUCCUGAUUCAAGUUGGGUUUUGACUCAGAGCUGCUCUGCACCAACCCGGCAAAAACGCUGCUUGGUCUCGGAGCU
Molecule: long non-coding RNA, 1787 nt
Organism: Gasterosteus aculeatus aculeatus (three-spined stickleback)
Lineage: Eukaryota; Metazoa; Chordata; Actinopteri; Perciformes; Gasterosteidae
Source: Ensembl